UGAAUCGAGACGUUUCACGCAGACUCAUCUACUAAAGGAACCGCAGGUUCGAAACCUCAGUGAGUGGGAAAUUCGGUGGUAUUCGCUGUCCCAAUUCAGAAAAUUGCUCUUGAGAGCUUCCUAAGCGUGUAAACGCUGGGCGGGGCCAUCAGAAAUUUACAGGCAGGAUGGGGUUCGCCCCUUCUGGCUGAUGGAAGGCUCCGCGGACAGUUGGCCCGUUGGCCUUGGCCAACGGCGCUGUUAAGUGCAAUGCGUGAACCCUUCCCAGAAGAGCACCCGAUACCGAUCAUCGUCUUGGUUCA
RNAcentral lists this non-coding RNA (302 nucleotides) under Komagataella phaffii GS115. The record is from RNAcentral. Lineage: Eukaryota; Fungi; Ascomycota; Pichiomycetes; Pichiales; Pichiaceae.